GUGCUACUUACUUACUGCCCGAGGGAACGAGUGAAGCUGCCAGCAUGAUCUAGCUCAGCGUGAUCAAGCAAGAUUCACACAUACACGUGUGGUUUUUUUGAGCUAUAGCUCGAUUGAUCUUGAGGUCAUGCCUUGCUAGGUCAUGCUGCGGCAGCCUCACUUCUUCCCGCCGUUUGGGCAUGCACAGCUG
Molecule: microRNA precursor, 190 nt
Filed under: Brachypodium distachyon (stiff brome)
Lineage: Eukaryota; Viridiplantae; Streptophyta; Magnoliopsida; Poales; Poaceae
Description: miR167b stem-loop (bdi-MIR167b)
Gene: bdi-MIR167b
Rfam family: MIR167 microRNA precursor family (bases 19-171)
Source: miRBase by way of RNAcentral